UACAGAGGGUGCAAGCGUUAAUCGGAAUUACUGGGCGUAAAGCGUGCGUAGUCGGUUAUUUAAGUCGGGCGUGAAAGCCCCGGGCUCAACCUGGGAAUUGCGUUCGAUACUGGAUAGCUAGAGUUCGGCAGAGGGAAGCGGAAUUUCGGGUGUAGCGGUGAAAUGAGUAGAUAUCCGAAGGAACAUCAGUGGCGAAAGCGGCUUCCUGGACCAGAACUGACGAUCAGGCACGAAAGCGUGGGGAGCAAACAGG
This 253-nucleotide ribosomal RNA is filed under the name uncultured bacterium. Its description in RNAcentral is "partial 16S ribosomal RNA". It matches the Rfam family "Bacterial small subunit ribosomal RNA", at positions 524 to 776 of the family's 1533-position model. The record is from RNAcentral.